UUGUGGAGGAGGACGCCGAAGGUGGGGCUAAUGACUGGGGUGAAGUCGUAACAAGGUAGCCGUACCGGAAGGUGCGGCUGGAUCACCUCCUAACAGGGAGACAACAAAAUGUAAAUAUUAAUUUUGUCACCUUAGGUCGAUCGGUAUCUCAGAUUCUUAUUUUUUAAGAAUUUCAGUUUCUAAGUUUUUUCUAGGUCACACCCAUCACUUUUUCCUGGGCCAUUAGUUCAGGUGGUUAGAGCGCACCCCUGAUAAGGGUGAGGUCCCUGGUUCAAGUCCAGGAUGGCCCAUAUCUCUAUGUUGGGGGUAUAGCUCAGUUGGUAGAGCGCCUGCUUUGCAAGCAGGAUGUCAGCGGUUCGAGUCCGCUUACCUCCACUGAAUACCACCUCUUAUAUAUAUUUAAAGAGGGAAAUUGUUUGAGUCGUGUCCUAAUUUGCUCUGAGCGAAUCUAGCUUCCUAUUUUAUUCAAUAAAUAAGAUGCUGGACUCAUUGAAUUUUUUUUCAUUGUUUUCAGAGAACCUUGACAACUGCAUAGAUUAUUUUUGAAGACAAUAAGCAUCUUUAAUGAUGCAGAUUUAUUAUUUGUGCUAAUGCAUUAAAUAACAAUUCUAUUAAGCUGAUGCUUCAAUUAUUGAAGUUAUUGGUCAAGCUACAA
This 655-nucleotide unclassified non-coding RNA is filed under the name uncultured Prochlorococcus sp. RNAcentral's name for it is "partial 16S-23S ribosomal RNA intergenic spacer; may also contain 16S ribosomal RNA and 23S ribosomal RNA". The stretch from base 303 to 375 matches the Rfam family "tRNA". The record is from RNAcentral. Lineage: Bacteria; Bacillati; Cyanobacteriota; Cyanophyceae; Synechococcales; Prochlorococcaceae.